CAUUAAGAAGCUAUGCAACAGCACUAGCCUUUUAAGCUAGCCAAAGAGGAACAACCCCCUCCUUAAUGA
Molecule: transfer RNA, 69 nt
Filed under: Histrionicus histrionicus (harlequin duck)
Lineage: Eukaryota; Metazoa; Chordata; Aves; Anseriformes; Anatidae
Description: tRNA-Lys
Source: RNAcentral